Molecule: long non-coding RNA, 1340 nt
Organism: Mesocricetus auratus (golden hamster)
Lineage: Eukaryota; Metazoa; Chordata; Mammalia; Rodentia; Cricetidae
Exons: 2
Source: RefSeq, a predicted model, not a curated record
CAUGAACUCACAGUGAGUUGCCUGACUCUACAGCCAAAUGCUGGAAUUAAAGCUGGAUUCCUGGAGCUCAGUCUGGUGCUUCGUUGUAGAUCUCUGCAUAUGGUUCCAUCAAUUAUUGAUGAAGGCUCUACUACGACAGUUGGAGUAUUUUCAAUUUGAACUUCUAACAAUAGCAAUCCUCCUGCCGCUAUCUCCCAAGUGCUGAGAUUACAGGUUUGCACUACCAUGGACUCAAUCUCCAAAUUCAUUUUCAUUCAAUUUUCUGUUCAUUAUUCAGUGAAUAUUUAUGGAGAACCUACUGUGUGGAUGGUGCUUAAACAGUGUUGGUACAACAACAAAUUCGCCAGGAGCUCAGCGUAGCAGAGUUGGGCAUUGAGCAAAUACACUGCAAUGCAGGGUGUGGGGCAUAAUAACAGAAGAAUGGCCCAGUUGAUAUCUGUGCCAGAGUGCUCAGACUUUGCGUUGUCCUAGCUGACACUAAGUGGAGCAUCAACACGCUCUUUGCCACUCCCAGCCUCUAUUAAGCAGUGGGUUCUGGAGCAGGCUGCAUGCUGCGGUUGUUUUAAGCUCUAUAUUCUAGGGCUGUUUAUUAUGAAGCAAUGGAACAACUAGAAUGAGAAUGAGAUAAAAACAUCCACAUAAAGAAAUGGUAAUGGUUGCCUUGCAAGUGCCCAGUGCUUGCAAGUAGUUACUAUUAGGGCUGUUUUAUUAUCAGCUACCAUCAUGAUAAAAAUGAUAGAUUUAAAAGGCAUAACAUUAAUCUAUCUUGGCUGUCCACUUGCAUCUCACUCUGUCUCCUGGAUCCCCUCUUUCUUCACCUGCUGGCUGCCUGGCUCAAGGUCAUUGAAGUAGCUAAGUACCUCACAUUCUGUUGACUUUACCCGGUCUAUUUCACAACUUCCCCUUCAAGCUGCUUUCAGAUUGUCCCUUCAGAUCUAUCCUUCAGAUCUAUUCUCUUACAUAGCAACCAGAGAGAGCUUUUUUUUUUUUUUUAAUUCAGAUACGUCCUACUUAAAAUCCUUCAGUGGGUCGCACGGUUAGGAUACAGCCUCCGGCCCUGAACUUGGCGUCAAGCCCUGUGCAAUCUGCUCUCUGCUUACCUCCCCAGGCUUAUCAAAGCUUACUGUGCUGCAACAAGCCUGGCUAGCCUGUACCUACUCUCAGGUCUGCCUCUGGGUUCUGGAACAUGCUGUUCUCUUUGAUCCUUCGAGUUUCUUAAGGGUCUUUUAAGGGGUUGACUCUUCCUGUUGCAGGGCUCCACCUCAGGCCUCAUUUGCUCACGGCAGACCCCAGCAGCACAUUUUAAAUGGUGAAUAAAAGAUAACUAGUGCUGAUUUGUA